ACCGGGGGCGCAACGCCUCCGACCUAUUCUCAAACUUUAAAUAGGUACGAAGUCUGGGUUGCUUGACUGAACCCAGGCCCUCAAUGCGAGCUCCAAGUGGGCCAUUUUUGGUAAGCAGAACUGGCGAUGCGGGAUGAACCGAGAGCCGAGCUAAGGCGCCCAACUGCGCGCUAACGAUCCCACAAAGGGUGUUGAUUGAUACAGACAGCAGGACGGUGGUCAUGGAAGUCGAAAUCCGAGGAGUGUGUAACAACUCACCUGCCGAAUCAAUUAGCCCCGAAAAUGGAUGGCGCUGAAGCGCGCGGCCUAUGCUCGGCCAUGGGGGCAAGUGCGAGGCCCCCAUGAGUAGGAGGGCGUGGGUGUCGUGGCGCAGCCCGCGGCGUGAGCCGGGGUGAAACGGCACGUGCAGAUCUUGGUGGUAGUAGCAAAUAUUCAAACGAGAACUUUGAA
Molecule: ribosomal RNA, 450 nt
Filed under: Auxenochlorella protothecoides
Lineage: Eukaryota; Viridiplantae; Chlorophyta; Trebouxiophyceae; Chlorellales; Chlorellaceae
Description: LSU rRNA
Rfam family: Eukaryotic large subunit ribosomal RNA
Source: RNAcentral